This 353-nucleotide ribosomal RNA is filed under the name uncultured Racocetra. RNAcentral's name for it is "SSU rRNA". It matches the Rfam family "Eukaryotic small subunit ribosomal RNA", at positions 569 to 929 of the family's 1831-position model. Lineage: Eukaryota; Fungi; Glomeromycota; Glomeromycetes; Diversisporales; Gigasporaceae. The record is from RNAcentral.
AGCAGCCGCGGUAAUUCCAGCUCCAAUAGCGUAUAUUAAAGUUGUUGCAGUUAAAAAGCUCGUAGUUGAAUUUCGGGGUUCUACCGUUGGUCGGGCUAUUGUCUGUACUGGCGUGUAGAAUUUCUACCUUCUGGGGAACUAUCAUGUUAUUAAUUUAGCGUAGUAGGAAACCAGGACCUUUACCUUGAAAAAAUUAGAGUGUUCAAAGCAGGCUUAUGUCUGAAUACAUUAGCAUGGAAUAAUAAAAUAGGACGGUGGUCCUGUUUUGUUGGUUUCUGAAUCACCGUAAUGAUUAAUAGGGAUAGUUGGGGGCAUUAGUAUUCAAUUGUCAGAGGUGAAAUUCUUGGAUUUAU